Molecule: ribosomal RNA, 301 nt
Filed under: uncultured bacterium
Lineage: Bacteria
Description: partial 16S ribosomal RNA
Rfam family: Bacterial small subunit ribosomal RNA
Source: RNAcentral
CAGCAGCCGCGGGAAUACGAAGGGGGCUAGCGUUGUUCGGAUUUACUGGGCGUAAGGGGCGCGUAGGCGGAUUGAUAAGUCAGGGGUGAAAUCCCAAGGCUCAACCUUGGAACUGCCUUUGAUACUGUUUGUCUUGAGUUCGAGAGAGGUAAGUGGAACUGCGAGUGUAGAGGUGAAAUUCGUAGAUAUUCGCAAGAACACCAGUGGCGAAGGCGGCUUACUGGCUCGAAACUGACGCUGAGGCGCGAAAGCGUGGGGAGCAAACAGGAUUAGAUACCCCUGUAGUCCCUGUCUCUUAUAC